This 375-nucleotide RNase P RNA is filed under the name Parvularcula marina. Its description in RNAcentral is "Bacterial RNase P class A". It matches the Rfam family "Bacterial RNase P class A". From Rfam's summary of the family: Ribonuclease P (RNase P) is a ubiquitous endoribonuclease, found in archaea, bacteria and eukarya as well as chloroplasts and mitochondria. Its best characterised activity is the generation of mature 5'-ends of tRNAs by cleaving the 5'-leader elements of precursor-tRNAs. Lineage: Bacteria; Pseudomonadati; Pseudomonadota; Alphaproteobacteria; Parvularculales; Parvularculaceae. The record is from Rfam by way of RNAcentral.
UCAGAUGGCCGGACGGCCGCGGGCCUUCGGGUUCGAGGAAAGUCCGGGCUCCAUGGCGGCAGGGUGCCGGGUAACGCCCGGCUGGAGCGAUCCAAGGGAUAGCGCCACAGAGAAUGAACCGCCUUCGCCAGUCGGCGACGGUAAGGGUGAAAAGGUGGAGUAAGAGCCCACCGCCGUCCCGGCAACGGGACGGGCAUGGCAAGCCCCGCCCGGAGCAAAACCGAAUAGGGACAGGGUGGCCUGUACGGCCGGCGCCGCCGCCAGCGCUACUUGUCCGGGUUGGUUGCUUGAGGCCACGUGCAAGCGUGUGUCCCAGAUGAAUGGUCGUCACCGCCUCGGCGGGACAGAACCCGGCUUACACGGCCGUCUGACCUU